AAAACGAGUAGCUAUGGUUUAAUCCACCAGCAGUGAGAAAUGCGUACUCCCAUCCUGGGUCAGACUAUCAUUUUGGUAAAAAUCUUUCUACAUACAGUUAAUUAAAAUCAACCUCUAUAUAAAAAGUUUUUCAUUGCAGUACCAGAGUUGGCCACUAUAUGGCAGUGUCUUACUGAGUAAAGACUGAUGUGUGCAAAGCGGAUAACGUUUAAAUACUCCACAU
Non-coding RNA from Pelobates cultripes (western spadefoot toad), 223 nucleotides. Lineage: Eukaryota; Metazoa; Chordata; Amphibia; Anura; Pelobatidae. The record is from the annotation of a GenBank genome assembly.